This 254-nucleotide ribosomal RNA is filed under the name uncultured bacterium. RNAcentral describes it as "partial 16S ribosomal RNA". It matches the Rfam family "Bacterial small subunit ribosomal RNA", at positions 524 to 776 of the family's 1533-position model. The record is from RNAcentral.
UACGGGGGGAGCAAGCGUUGUUCGGAUUUACUGGGCGUAAAGGGCGCGUAGGCGGCCAGCGCAAGUCGGUUGUGAAAUCUCCGGGCUUAACUCGGAAAGGUCAACUGAUACUGCGCGGCUAGAGUGCAGAAGGGGCAACUGGAAUUCUCGGUGUAGCGGUGAAAUGCGUAGAUAUCGAGAGGAACACCUGCGGCGAAGGUGGGUUGCUGGGCUGACACUGACGCUGAUGCGCGAAAGCCAGGGGAGCGAACGGG